AAAUGAUAACCUAUUAGAAUUAUCGAAAAAGAGUUAGUGAUGGUUGGUACAUUUGCAGUUAAUUGAGAUGUGGAGUUAAUCUUCUGUUUUCGGGUGUGAAAUAGAUUAGUUAUGCCAGGAAAAAUGAUGCAGAUUGGAAACUCAUUAUGCAGGUGAAUUUGUUUUGCAAGAUUUGAGUUGCCGGAGCUUGACCUGAUGGUGAAACGGGCUUGGCGAUUUGGCUUCGCGCAACGGAUUACUAAGGUAGCAAUUGAUUCUUCCUUGGCUUGCUUUGGCUUAGUGUAUUAUUUUGAUAGUAGAUUUGUGGUUCAAUGCUGCAGAAUCAUGGUAUUGCAGCUUGGUUUCGGGUCUGCGAAUUGGUCGUGGUGUAGUUUUCUCUUGUUCUCUUACAGGUCCAAUGACUGGUAUGCUUAACCCAUGGUGCAGCAGGCUUGACGCUUGAAAUCGGGCAUGGGCAGUUCGAAGUUAGGGAAGGUUAUGGAUCAGAUAGCUUGCAGGAAAUGGUGGUUAGGCCGAUGAAAUCAGUUGGUUGACCGCCAGUAGACGUGAACAAAGGUGGCGGUUGCUGAUACUGCAGAGUAUGCCGCGGGUCUGCAUAAUUGACGGGUGAUGUCAUUGUCAAUGCAGAAGGUGUCAAUGAAGUGACAUCGGUUGGGAAAGUUGUGAAGCUGCCCGUAGCCGGAGUUGCUCAUGAAAAGCCCAGAACUUAUUGUAUUCACGCUGCAUCAGGUAGUAUGCGUUUGGCUUUUUAUUUCCGUUAAUUAUAAAACGUUAGAUUGCUUUUCUGUGAAAUGAAUGUGCGUUACAUUUAAUGAAUUGAUUUGUUAGGGGAGAUUGUGAUUAAUUUUGGUGACGAGUCCCGUUGAAUCGGUAGCGGCAGGGUAAUUAAAUACGAUUGGAAGGUUUGUUCAGUUGGUUGUGAAACAUCUAAUCCAUUUUUAAUUUCUGUUAUUUAAUGUUGCAAUUGGCUGUUGUUGUAGGUUCUAGAAUGCAUUUGGUUGCAUCUAUUUAACAGAACAGAAGGCGCCGCAUUAGAUGGCUCCAAGCUAAAAGGCUUUUCCUCGACGCGUUUUCCAGCCUCUUUGUCUCCCUGAACCCUACAAGCAUUCGGAAAUAUUCUAUACACUGUAGCAGAAACUUGAAAAGGAACCGAUAAUACCACCUUCUCGGUUUCUUGUAUGCGCACAACACGACUAAGGGCAUCGGCGAGACAAGAAUAAUGUUCAAUCUCCCUGCC
Molecule: long non-coding RNA, 1237 nt
Filed under: Lathyrus oleraceus (garden pea)
Lineage: Eukaryota; Viridiplantae; Streptophyta; Magnoliopsida; Fabales; Fabaceae
Description: Pisum sativum (pea) long non-coding RNA (PSAT_LNC032099)
Source: RNAcentral